This 497-nucleotide ribosomal RNA is filed under the name uncultured bacterium. RNAcentral describes it as "partial 16S ribosomal RNA". It matches the Rfam family "Bacterial small subunit ribosomal RNA", at positions 28 to 507 of the family's 1533-position model. The record is from RNAcentral.
GAUGAACGCUGGCGGCGUGCCUAAUACAUGCAAGUCGAGCGGACAGACGAGGAGCUUGCUCCUCUGACGUUAGCGGCGGACGGGUGAGUAACACGUGGAUAACCUACCUAUAAGACUGGGAUAACUUCGGGAAACCGGAGCUAAUACCGGAUAAUAUAUUGAACCGCAUGGUUCAAUAGUGAAAGACGGUUUUGCUGUCACUUAUAGAUGGAUCCGCGCCGCAUUAGCUAGUUGGUAAGGUAACGACUUACCAAGGCAACGAUGCGUAGCCGACCUGAGAGGGUGAUCGGCCACACUGGAACUGAGACACGGUCCAGACUCCUACGGGAGGCAGCAGUAGGGAAUCUUCCGCAAUGGGCGAAAGCCUGACGGAGCAACGCCGCGUGAGUGAUGAAGGUCUUCGGAUCGUAAAACUCUGUUAUUAGGGAAGAACAAAUGUGUAAGUAACUAUGCACGUCUUGACGGUACCUAAUCAGAAAGCCACGGCUAACUACGUG